GGUAGGUGUAGGUGAGGUGCUGCAGUAGAGGCCAGAUGUCCUCCCCAGGCGCUCGGCAGUAGUAUGCGUACAUGGUCUGAAGUUCAGGCGGCCGGCGUGGUUCCUGGGGCCUUGUCCUGGUCCAGACCUGGAGUAGGGGAGGUGGAUGCGCUUUGUUCUCAGGUCCACCGCAGAUCCUGGUGACUAGUAACGCAGGCCUUGGUUCACAGCAGGAGCCCCUGCGAUUGUGCCCCCGGCUUUGGGGAACUCUUCCUAAAGAGUUUGGCUACCAGGUCACCUCUUGUCCUAGGGCGGGACUCAAAGCCCAGGCUCCGAGCAGGCUAGAAGGACUCAAGGCCGUUUGAAGCCCCAGCCCUGAAAUGCCCUUUCAGGUAGCUCCCCACUCACUUGUCUCCUUUAGCCUCGGGGAGCUGACCCCCAGCAUUUGGAGGAACCAGAGAGAUCCAGGAGCAGGGCUCCUCUCCACCGCUUUUCAGUUGAUCUGCUGUUCUUCAUGCCCUGACUCGGCCACACCUCCUGGUUUCCAGGCAAAGGGAAACACCUUUACCUUGCCAGAAGCCAGCCAGUCUGUGUUUACACUGGGUGAACCUGCUGGAAUCAUGCUGGCCCCAACUUAGACACAACAUCCGUGAGGGUAUCCCAGUGCCCUUUGCAAUUAGGUUAGCUCUCUGUUAUCCACAUCCCGUUUUCCCAGUCAGAUGGAUUGAGUUAUCCAGCAUUUGAGUUAAGCUCCUCACCAGGCACUGAAUCAAGUUGCUUCGUGGUUCAGUCGUGUCCAACUCUUUGAGACCCCAUGGACUGCAGCACACCAGGCUUCCCUGUCUUUCACCAUCCCUGGGAGUUUGCUCAGACUCAUGUCCAUUGAGUCGGCAAUGCCAUCCAACCAUCUCAUCCUUGUUCAAGUUGCUUAUGAGCAUCUAACUUCAAGUUUACAUCAACCCUAGAAAUGAGGUAUUAAUAGUUUCCCCACCUUACAUAGCAAGAAGCUGCUUAUCUCAGGUUUGGUAUACAAUGAAUGUAUUCUAUGACUGGGGCUUAUGUAAAUAUCUUGUCCAGACUCACAUAGCUAGUUAUGUUAAGGGUAAAAUUCUCAAGACUUGUACUGUCAGUAAUAGCAUGAUCACCAAUCUAUACUGAGUCUGCCUUCCCGCUAUCUGACUAUCCUCCCCUCUAGAAUGUUACAUAAGAGCUUAUAACUUUUUUCAAAGAACUUCUAAUUCUUAUUAGCCACAUGAAGAACAUGGUGAUAUCAUUCUCAUGGAAUAGAUUAAGGAACCAGAGACUCAGGAAGUUAGGCCACUUUCCCAUCUUCUCACAGUCUGUAACUGUCACUGUGGGAUUUGAACUCAGUCCAACUGAUGCCAAAGCCCAGAAGCGACUUGGGUGAAGCCAGAAAGGUUGCUUCAUUCACAUGGGGUGAGGACUAUCUGAGCUCCAGUCCCCAUUGGUUCAGGUCAUGUCCUUCCAGCUCUCUUCCCCAGUGGAGUGGGUCAUAGUUGCUGGAUGCUUAAAAUGGAUACCCUCUCCUAGUUGCUGGGCUGCCAGGCCAUCAUACUUUCCUUCCUCCUCUGUUAAUCUAAGCAGUAUUACCAUUAACCCCCACAGUUUCUCAUAGAUUUUCAGCAUCCCUCAGAGUCCAGCUACCCUCUGGGAAGUUCUCCCACACUCAGCCUGGUGAUGUCAUGUUUAUUCCUGACUGCACCACUCUUUCAAGUCUAAUUCAGGCCAUUGGCCUAGUGACAGCAGCAGCUCGGACUGGUUUAGGUUAUCUACCUAACACUCCCUAUCCAACAGCUCCAAGAAGGGAGCCUCCCCCUCUGUCUUCUUUAAGAACUGGUCCCAGGGACUUCCUGGUGGUCCAGUGGUUAAAAUUCCCCGUGCUUCCAAUGCAGGGGGCACAGGUUUGAUCCCUGGUUGGGGAACUAAGAUCUCUCAUGCUGUGUGGCAAAAAAAAAAAAAAAAAAAAGAACUGGUCCCAGGACAUAGUGGUCUUUGUUGGGGGAGGCCUCCCACCCCCAUGAUGUCCAUGGCUUAAUCCCUGGGGUCUGGUUAAUAUGUUACAUUACAUGGCAAGGGGGAAUUAAGGUUGCAAAUGAUAUUAAGGUUGUUAGUUAAAAGUCCUUAAAAUAGAGAGGUUAUCCUGGAUUAUCUCGGUUGGUCCAGAGUAAUUACAGGAGUCAAAUGUGGAAGAUGGAAACUCAAGAGUCACUGGCUUUGAAGAUGAAAGAGGGUCAUGAGCCUCAUGAGCCAAGGAAUGCAGGCAGCCCGAAAGCUGGAAAAGACAAGGAAAUGGAUUCUUCCUAGAAAGGAAUGCACUUCUGCCAAUACCUUGAUUUUAGUUAAUGAGACAGAAUUCCAGUCUCCAGAAGUAUAAGAUAAUACAUUUGUAUUGUUUAGAGCCUCUAAGUCUGUGGCAAUUUGUUAGACCAUUAGUGGAAAAUUAAUAUACCUCCCCAUUCUAUUUAUAACUGCCCCUUUCUCCCCCAUGGGGAUCUGAUCACCCUGAGUGGGAGAUGAGAGUGUGAGACCAAGCUCAAGUUGAAGCCUGGGACAAUGAGAAGCCUGUGUUUUAAUGUUCUGACAUACUUGCUGAAAACUGCUGGUCUGGGGCGGAGGGUAGUUUUAAGGAAAAAUGAGAAAAAUAAGAACCAGGCCAAGUUUCUCAGCGUUUAUUCACCUUGAUUCCAGUAACAGCCUCCACAUUUUUAGAGUUCCACACCUUAUCUACUGUUAGGAAAGUGGUUCUGGGGGAGUUGGUUCUAGCCCAUCCUUAAAUUACCUAGGUGAUUUAGGGCUCGAUCAAUCAUCACUGACAUCCCUUUGGCCAUAGUGACUAGUUUACGCUAGCCAUGUGACUCAAUUUGGGCCAAUGGGAACCAAGCCCAGGGCUCUGUUCUCUUAUUGUGUGGAGGGAAGGGCUCUCUCCCCUGGACCGAAAUCUGGAAGAAUGCAGUUCUGGAUCCAAAGGCGAUGCUCUCUCAGCAUGGAAUCGCAGAAGAAGUGGAACCAAAGGUCAGAGGGAGAUAUUGAGUCCUGAUGACAUCGUUUGAAUCCUGGACUUUGAAGUUAUGUGAGCCAUUAAAUUCCUCCCCCCCCCUCAGUUUUUUAGGAUAUAGUUGGUAUACAGCACUGUUUAAGGUGUAGAACAUAAUGAUUUGACUUAAAUUUAUUGUGAAACAAUUACUACAAUAGGUUUGGUCAAUAUCCAUCAUCUCAUAUAGAUACAAAAAAAAUUUUAUUUUCCUUCUGAUGAGAACUCUUAGGGUCUACUCUCUUAACAACUUUCAGAUAUACCAUACAGCAGUGUUAACUUUGGUCAUCAUGUUAUACUUUACCUCCCUAGUAUAUAUUUAUCUUAUAACUGGAAAUCUGUAUAUUUGAUCAGCUUUAUCCAACUUCCC
Molecule: long non-coding RNA, 3401 nt
Organism: Bos taurus (domestic cattle)
Lineage: Eukaryota; Metazoa; Chordata; Mammalia; Artiodactyla; Bovidae
Source: Ensembl